This 531-nucleotide long non-coding RNA is filed under the name Gossypium barbadense (sea-island cotton). RNAcentral describes it as "long non-coding RNA (GBAR_LNC010142)". The record is from RNAcentral. Lineage: Eukaryota; Viridiplantae; Streptophyta; Magnoliopsida; Malvales; Malvaceae.
AUGCCCAAAAAUGGUGUUUUUCUUAGUUUGAAAAUCGGCUAAGAAAGAAAACAAAGAUGAUAGCCUUUGUUUUUAUUAUUUUACUAACUUUAUUUAUUAAAAUACUUAAAUAACCUUUAAUUAAACCUUUAAAAAUCACUUAAAUGACGUCCAUCUUUGUAUAUUAAUUAUAUUAAUGGUCUAAUUACCAUUUAAGGCCACUCAUUUUCCAAUCUCAUAGCAAUUUGACACCUUUUACUUAUAGAACUCAAAAUUUGCACAUUAUGCAAUUUAGUCCUUUUUAUCAAAUUAAGCAUGCAAGCGAUAAAAUUUCUUAAUGAAAUUUUUCUACGACCCUACUAACAUGCUGUAGACAUUAAAAUAUUCAUAAAAUAAAUAUUUAGAUAUCAGAUUUGUGGUCCCAAAAUCACUGUUCUGAUUUUACUGAAACGGGCUGCUACAGUAGUCACAUACCUUUUAAAGCUUUAGUUACUCGUUGAACCAAUAGUGUAGCACCCCAAACCCGGCCCAGAAGUUAUGGCCGGAUCCGGC